RNAcentral lists this ribosomal RNA (339 nucleotides) under Triticum aestivum (bread wheat). RNAcentral's name for it is "partial small subunit ribosomal RNA". The record is from RNAcentral. Lineage: Eukaryota; Viridiplantae; Streptophyta; Magnoliopsida; Poales; Poaceae.
AUGGCAAUUGUCCAUACAUACGGGAAGCCAGACAUCUUCCUCACCAUGACUUGCAAUCCUAAAUGGGACGAGAUAACAAACGAGUUGCUGCCUGGUCAGACGGCGCAAGACCGACCUGAUAUUGUGGCUCAAAACAGUUGCAAGUGCAGAUAUCCACGGCCGUUCAAUGAGAACACAACACAGGGGAAGGACUCAUACCCAGUGUAUCAACGGAGAGACGAUGGAAGACGUGCUAAGGUCAGAGGGAAGAUGCUGGACAACAGAUGGGUUGUGCCUUAUAACCCAUACCUACUGCGGAUGUUCAAUUGCCACAUCAACGUUGAGGUCUGCUCUAGCAUA